This is a long non-coding RNA of Raphanus sativus (radish), 920 nucleotides long. RefSeq lists it as uncharacterized. Lineage: Eukaryota; Viridiplantae; Streptophyta; Magnoliopsida; Brassicales; Brassicaceae. The record is from RefSeq and is a predicted model, not a curated record. The transcript is spliced from 5 exons.
UUCUACUUCAAGGGUUGAACCCUUAGUUUUCUCCGCCGUCGUGAUGUAGUCUCCAACUCUAGGUUUCUAUUCGUCUUCUUCCUCCCCUGAAUUUUACCAGUUUCACAUUCUUCUUAAAGUCCUCCUUGAUUCCAUCAUUCACAAUCUACAUUUAUUGUAUGCUUCGCUCUUGCAAAGCGGUGGAAACCUCAGUAUAUAAAGUCUGGAAGAUGUUCUUCCACGAUUGAGAUGAGGUUGCUUCGUUUCUGGAGGGCGGCGAGCUUAAGGGCGUCUACAUACUCCACCUCGGCGUUAAGAUUCCAAUCAAUUGUAUGGUGCAUCAUGAGGAUCUGAUAAGUUUAAACAUUCUAUGUCAAUCAAAUCAGCCAGAGAAUUGUUCUUCUUCGACUCGAACUGAAGUAAUGCAGGUUGCUCUUGGUCGUUCUGCUUCUGAUUGCAACAUGUCGUGUCAUCUUUGAAGUCUCCAAGUUUGUCUGUGUCAUGGUGGAGCUUGACUUCUUAUUACGGAUAUGCCAAACGGAAAGGUGAAAAAGUAUCAUCUCUCUCCUGAAACUCCAUUGGCUUACACAGUGAAAGACUUACACUGUAUAUAUAUCUCUCUUGGCUUUCCCGUUCCUUUUUUAACUGUUUCAAAAUUAUUCUUUGGCUAUCAUUGCAGCUUAUUUAAAGCUUAUGGCUUUUUUUUUUGAUCAACUAGCUUAUGGCUUAUUUAAAGCUUAUGCAGGAUUAGAAUUUUCAAGGACCGGAAGCACUGCAGUAAAAACGGUUUUUGAUUAGAACUAUUGCCAGCUUGAUAAAUAACCAAGCUUGAUUGUAUUGUAUGUGUAUCUUAUCGAAUUUUGUUUAACAGAAAUCUUUAUUGUACGUCUUUUUGUAUGUUUUUGUACAUUGAAAUCAAUGACAGGGUUAUUAAAAAAAAA